This 505-nucleotide long non-coding RNA is filed under the name Setaria italica (foxtail millet). RNAcentral describes it as "long non-coding RNA (SITA_LNC000675)". Lineage: Eukaryota; Viridiplantae; Streptophyta; Magnoliopsida; Poales; Poaceae. The record is from RNAcentral.
UUUCUUAAUUCAUUUACUAUUUUUUUACUUUUCUAAAAAUCCAUUAAUUCUAAUAUUAAUUUGAAAAGAAUAGAAAGCAUGGCAUCAGAACACAACCACAACAUCUCUAUCAUCGGUCCUCUCUUUCCCUUUGGGGAAAUUGAUUUCUUACUUUGUUUCUAUCUCCUUUGGCCAUUCUUUUGAUUUCACCAGCAACUAUAAAAGCAUCUAUGACUUUCGUCAAGUGCUUCACCUACUCCUUCCUAUUUUUUUCGCAUAUGAUCUAGUGAUCAGACUACCACCAGGAUAGAAAUUCAAGACAUAUUGCAUCUCCUAAAAUCAUAUCUCUCAUCGUGCCCCGACGAAUACCAAUUCGUUCAUAUUUUGCUUCUAAGGUAAUAAUGGGUGUUGCUUUUGUAAUAACUUAGUCUACGACAGCCCUAAUAAAUAACAUCAAUCAUUUCCUUUGCUUCUUUUUAAUCAAACUUUGUAUUGCUUAAGUAUAGCUUAAGUACUCUUUGUGUUG